UACGUAGGGUGCGAGCGUUGUCCGGAAUUAUUGGGCGUAAAGAGCUUGUAGGUGGCUCGUUGCGUCGGGAGUGAAAACCUGCGGCUUAACCGCAGGCCUGCUUCCGAUACGGGCGAGCUAGAGUUCGGCAGGGGAGACUGGAAUUCCUGGUGUAGCGGUGAAAUGCGCAGAUAUCAGGAGGAACACCGGUGGCGAAGGCGGGUCUCUGGGCCGAUACUGACGCUGAGGAGCGAAAGCGUGGGGAGCGAACAGG
RNAcentral lists this ribosomal RNA (253 nucleotides) under uncultured bacterium. RNAcentral's name for it is "partial 16S ribosomal RNA". It matches the Rfam family "Bacterial small subunit ribosomal RNA", at positions 524 to 776 of the family's 1533-position model. The record is from RNAcentral.